RNAcentral lists this ribosomal RNA (500 nucleotides) under uncultured bacterium. Its description in RNAcentral is "partial 16S ribosomal RNA". It matches the Rfam family "Bacterial small subunit ribosomal RNA", at positions 28 to 507 of the family's 1533-position model. The record is from RNAcentral.
GACGAACGCUGGCGGCGUGCCUAAUACAUGCAAGUCGAGCGGACUGAUUAAGAGCUUGCUCUUAUGACGUUAGCGGCGGACGGGUGAGUAACACGUGGGCAACCUGCCCUGUAGAUCGGGAUAACACCGAGAAAUCGGUGCUAAUACCGGGUAAUAUCUGAGAUCACAUGAUCUUAGGUUAAAAGAUGGCUCCGGCUAUCACUACAGGAUGGGCCCGCGGCGCAUUAGCUAGUUGGUAAGGUAAUGGCUUACCAAGGCGACGAUGCGUAGCCGACCUGAGAGGGUGAUCGGCCACACUGGGACUGAGACACGGCCCAGACUCCUACGGGAGGCAGCAGUAGGGAAUCUUCCGCAAUGGACGAAAGUCUGACGGAGCAACGCCGCGUGAGUGAUGAAGGGUUUCGGCCCGUAAAGCUCUGUUGUUAGGGAAGAAACAGUACCGAACGAACUAGGUCGGUACCUUGACGGUACCUAACCAGAAAGCCACGGCUAACUACGUG